Long non-coding RNA from Esox lucius (northern pike), 1219 nucleotides. The record is from Ensembl. NCBI's taxonomy places the organism in Eukaryota, Metazoa, Chordata, Actinopteri, Esociformes, Esocidae.
AUGCUGCAAUAGGUUGCACUUGUCCAGUAACACAACUUACAGUAGACUGCCAGGGUGCCAGGGAAAGAUAACUCAACAUACAGAUGAAAAUUAAAAUGGACAACAUACUUUUUCCAUUUCCCUGUCUCAUUGUACUUUUGGGUCUGGUGUUGACUUCUAUGACUACAGCCCAAAACAACAUAACUACCACAAUCAGUCCCACUAAACUCAUCAAUCACACCGGAAACCAGGUAAACUCAACCAUCAACCCAGUUGAUACAGCACAAAGCAAUGAUACCACCACAACUCUGCCAACAAAUUCAGGCAGUCCUAACACCACCACAGAAAAGGAUGAUGACAAAAGCACCAACAUCUCAACAACCACAUCCCAGCAGUUGACACAGAAUGGCAAUACUUCACAUCCCUCAGGAGGAAUCAGGUCCACAACUCCUGCUGGAAGCACCAAGGACAAAGAAUUGGGUCAUACCAAAACAACAACAACGACAACUGUGCCAACAUUAGUUCCUACCACAAGUGCCCAUCGAAAUUCCACAAAAUCCAAGAUCUGGCUAAUCAUCUUGAUUAUCAUCAUUGCUGUGGUUCUUGUAAUAGUAUUUGUCCAAAUACGCAAGAAGUUGAAGAGGAAAUCGAUGGAUCUGCCAAGCAGACAGGAGGAUGUCCCUCUGAGUACUCACGAUCAUGACGUCGCGUUUGACAGCUCUCCGGCACCGAAGGAAAUGCAGACCUUUACGGCUGUGGACCUCGACAGCACUGAAGCCCUGGUUGAGGAUUCACCUGGAACAAAGGAGGAUGGUGGGAACAGCUCCGACCUCCCCCCGCCGCCAGGCUCUGUGGACAAACCCCAUGACGUGGCCCCGACUAAACUGGCCCCUGAACACGGGGCCCUGGGGGUCCCAGAAGGGGAGACUGAUGACGAACUCGCCGUCUCCAAUAAGACCUCGGUGGAGUCAGUGGCGGUCAACGAUGACAACAACAACAACAACAACAACAUCAGGAUGCCAGUGACAACGAGAGAUUGAAGAAAAAACAUGAAGUCAAAGGUAAAUUGACCCUAUGGAUAGAAGUUAAUAUGCAGUAGCCUAAGGGGAUCCUGAUUCUACAUAAUAUACUGAAUAUUUCUCUAGUCCUAUGCUCAGCCCGGCUCCACUCAUUGUGUAAACUAAAUGCUAUUUCUAGAACAACAAUAUCUUGUGUUGUUGAAAACAUUGUCAAAUAAAUC